GGCGGAGUGAUCAGAAUGCACAAGAAGGUAAAACUCGUCACCACGGGCGCUGGCUUGCUGCAGAACAUCAAGGUAAAGCUGUGCAGGAACCCGCGGCGGUCUAUUUGAAGUAGGUGAGGGAAGCAAGGUUUUUGUUAUUGUUAAUUACCUUCUUUGUAGUGAGUCUAGAGGAAUAGGCCUCUCCUCCUGUCUCACUUUUCCUGUGUAUUUACUCCUCCAACUUACCUUUUUCCCUCUAUUUCUUCAGUUUUUUAAUUUCCUUACUCCAACAAGCUUUCUCCCCCCCUCGCCCCCCCCCCCCCUUUUUUUUUGUCAUUUUUCUCUCUGCUUCCUGCAAACUCAAUCCCAGUUUUACAUGUUUCUCCCUCUUCUUCUCUUGUUACAGCUCAACUCUUUCUUCCUUAUUGGAAGAAGAAGAGUAUGUAGCAAUUAGUUUCCCUCCCUCCUCUCUCUCCACGCAACACACACAAUCCAUCUUUUUUCCUACUUUCUCCUCUUUUCAGCUCUAAUUUGGCCCCCUCUGCUUUCAGUUUUCCUCUUUCACCCCCUUUAUUUUGCUUUUCUCUUCUCCUGUCUUCAUUUGUUCUUUUGUCUUUCCACACUUGUUCUUUUUAAUCUGUUUUCCUCUGUGUUGCCGCCUCGUCUUCCCAUUUUUCCUCCUCCAUCUUUCUCAAGUAAAGUCACGGCUAUUCAUAUAGCACAUUUACAAACAACAGCAGUUAGUCCAGUGUGCUUUCCAGUGUCAAAGCAAAUCCUAGUAUAUGAAAAAUACACAUCUAAAGAGAUAAAGAGCAAGAUAAAAAAAAUAAAAUUAAAUGAAACGCGCACAAAGCAAAGAGAAAGAAAAAUCACAGUAAAAACAACACAUUAAAAAUAUAAUAGGAAGACUUUAAAUUGAAAUAAAUAUCAUUAUUGGUCGCAAAAAUAAUAUAAUCCAUUUAAUCAAAAACGACAGGAUAAAAAUUAAACAUUAGAGCUCCAAAAUAAUCAGUCAUUAGAGCUCCAAAAUAAUUGAGAUGUGUAGUGUUGCCUAGUUCCCAUAAUCACAUAACAAGCACACCCUUCUAGUUUUGCGAGUUGUUUAAAGACUUCAGUCAUGCAGACCCAGAGAACAAGUGCCUUGUGACAACCACCAGUCGCUAUGUAAACAUGUUUACUUAACCAGUUGCAAGUGGAGGCUGGGUAUCACCAAGUGAAAUUGGUUGCAAAAAGAUAUAUCGUGCUGCACCAAAAAACUUCCUUGUGAUUGCUUUUGUCACUGGGAGGUUGUUGUGGUCACCUGUAGUUUGCAUGGAAGACACUGGCACGUCUACAAACAGUCGUCAAGUGUGAAAAGACCAACACAAAUUUUCUCUAUUUCCUGAGAAUCUGACCUACUGUUCACUGAAACCUCAUCAGAAAUGGUCGCAAGCCAUUCUUCAGGAAGGGAAACAGGGAGAUUAAAGAAUUAAAGAAGAUCAGUCAUAAUAAAUCUAGUAGGGGAAUGAAGUCAAAAUUUAAAUGUUUGCCUCAAAUCAUCAUCAGUGUGUACCGUUUUUCCGCACUAUAAGGUGCACUUAAAAUCCUUUAAUUUUCUCAAAAAUUGGCAAUGCGCCUUAUCUAUGAAUUCUGGCUGUGUUUACUGACCUCGAACCGAUUUUAUUUUUUUAUUUUUAUUUUUUUUGUGGUACAUGGCGCUCAAAAAAUGUUUGUUUUAGUAGGACUUUGCUAAGCUACGAAGCCGCACCGCUUGAUGCAUUGUCUGAGUGUUAUGGCUACCGUAGUCAGGAGCCUCACGGCUCAUAGUAAUCUGGGUCCAAAACUCCGUCCGCGUCAGGUCCCAAACGAAUACUGUGUAAAUUGUUUCAUCUUUAAUAAAAUGAUUGCUGCUUUACCAGGUGUAACAAUUACGUUUAACAUUCAGGCAUCCAUGAAAACAGAAUUUAUUAAAUUUAACGGAGUUAUAAGUUAGCAAGAAGUUAGCAGAAAGUUAGCUCGCUUGUUUCGCUAGUUACCUAAAAAUGAUAUACCAUGUUCUGACUGAGAGGUUUCUGGGCAAAAGUAAAAUGUACAGCUCUGCUAUCACUUCCAACAUGAAUGAAGACAGAAAACUACACAGCAGUGAUGUUUGUAGGGCUACUGAAGUUGGACUAGCUGGUAUAUAAUGCUGUGAUAGUGAUCGCUAGCGACACAGCUAUUUUAGCAUAACUCAGUGGGCCCAAAACUGUUCGCUUCAGGUCCUAAAGUCACACGAACACUGCGGCAUCACUGAGA
Long non-coding RNA from Astatotilapia calliptera (eastern happy), 2253 nucleotides. Lineage: Eukaryota; Metazoa; Chordata; Actinopteri; Cichliformes; Cichlidae. The record is from Ensembl.